UGGUUCUGGCAUCGAUGAAGAACGCAGCGAAAUGCGAUAAGUAAUGUGAAUUGCAGAAUUCAGUGAAUCAUCGAAUCUUUGAACGCACAUUGCGCCCCUUGGUAUUCCGAGGGGCAUGCCUGUUCGAGCGUCAUAUAAACAUAUCCCUUGUGGGGUCUUGGGAUCCGCCUUAUAGCGAUCCUUAAAAUCAGUGGCGGUGCCAUCUGGCUCUAAGCGUAGUAAUUACCCUCGCUAUAGUGUCCUGGUGGUUGCUUGCCAACAAUCUAUAAUUUCAACGUUUGACCUCGGAUCAGGUAGGGAUACCCGCUGA
Molecule: unclassified non-coding RNA, 310 nt
Filed under: uncultured fungus
Lineage: Eukaryota; Fungi
Description: partial contains 5.8S ribosomal RNA and internal transcribed spacer 2
Rfam family: 5.8S ribosomal RNA (bases 1-133)
Source: RNAcentral